GUUUGAUGCCUGAUGAAUUCACCAUGCACACCUGCCUCCAUCCACAGAGCCCUUUGGCCUGCUGAGGAACAUGGUGUCUGACCCUGUCUCUCAAACUUCUUUAGGGACCCAGGAGUGCAAGUCUCAAGGGCAACUCCGGGCAGCCCUACCUGGUUUCCUGUUCCCUCUGAAAAGGAGUGGAAGAGCAGUGCUUCUCAAAUGUGAACACAAGGCAACUAACAGCAGGAAUGUCUGGACCUGGGCUCUGGAAAGAGCUUGGCAUAGGCUUGGGAAGAAGAAUGUGGAAAGGUAGGUGGUGUUGGUGCAGUCUGAAAGUCCCACUCCAAGAUUCAAGAAACUUUAAGAAAUUUCAUUUAAGUUUUAUCUUAGAAAAUAACAUGAGGCUUUCA
This 389-nucleotide long non-coding RNA is filed under the name Macaca nemestrina (pig-tailed macaque). RNAcentral describes it as "lncRNA (ENSMNEG00000045754.1)". Lineage: Eukaryota; Metazoa; Chordata; Mammalia; Primates; Cercopithecidae. The record is from RNAcentral.